AUGGUGAUGCAACAUUUCCGCAAUAGGCUCAGAGAUGAGGAUCCAGAGAAAUAUUAUACUCGGUCAUCCUUUUGUAUCAACUGUAAAUGGAUACAUGAUCAGCACACAAGAGACUCUGAAAUACACGAGCAUGAUGAUGAUUGUGACAGAGGAAGUGGAGGAAGAGAGCACAAAGAUGUCUGGCUUACAUCAAGGCUAUUAUCUGGCUGCUUAGCAACAGCUUGCAUCCAUCCUCUCUUUAUUGAUGGCCUGGAGAUUUUUUAUGAGGGGAAUCAAAAGGUUGCCGCAAUUUCUGAAAUUUCUUCCCCAAGUGAGCUGCAACUCAUACAGCUAGACAAUGUGGAAGUAUAA
RNAcentral lists this ribosomal RNA (351 nucleotides) under Triticum aestivum (bread wheat). Its description in RNAcentral is "partial small subunit ribosomal RNA". The record is from RNAcentral. Lineage: Eukaryota; Viridiplantae; Streptophyta; Magnoliopsida; Poales; Poaceae.